RNAcentral lists this ribosomal RNA (466 nucleotides) under uncultured Synechococcales cyanobacterium. RNAcentral's name for it is "bacterial SSU rRNA". It matches the Rfam family "Bacterial small subunit ribosomal RNA", at positions 19 to 525 of the family's 1533-position model. The record is from RNAcentral. Lineage: Bacteria; Bacillati; Cyanobacteriota; Cyanophyceae; Synechococcales.
CUGGCUCAGGAUGAACGCUGGCGGUAUGCUUAACACAUGCAAGUCGAACGAACGUUUUCGGACGUUAGUGGCGGACGGGUGAGUAACGCGUGAGAAUCUACCUUCAGGUUGGGGAUAACAGACGGAAACGACUGCUAAUACCCAAUAUACCGAGAGGAGAAAGGCUAGCUGCCUGAAGAUGAGCUCGCGUCCGAUUAGCUAGUUGGUGGUGUAAAGGACUACCAAGGCGACGAUCGGUAGCUGGUUUGAGAGGACAAUCAGCCACACUGGGACUGAGACACGGCCCAGACUCCUACGGGAGGCAGCAGUCGGGAAUAUUGGUCAAUGGGCGAAAGCCUGAACCAGCAACGCCGCGUGCACGAUGAAGGCCUUCGGGUCGUAAAGUGCUUUUUAGAGGGGAUGAGGGAAGGGACAGUACCUCUAGAAUAAGUCACGGGCUAACUACGUGCCAGCCGCCGCGGGUAAC